Non-coding RNA from Glycine soja, 108 nucleotides. The record is from Rfam. Lineage: Eukaryota; Viridiplantae; Streptophyta; Magnoliopsida; Fabales; Fabaceae.
GAGUGUCACAUCAUCACACCUAGUCACGGACACCUCAUUGACAUGUCAUCCCUUCAAUGGCGUGACAAUGGCGUGUCGAUGAUAAGGCAUGAUGAUGUGGCACUUAAU